RNAcentral lists this transfer RNA (75 nucleotides) under Deltaproteobacteria bacterium RIFCSPLOWO2_01_FULL_38_9. RNAcentral's name for it is "tRNA-Pro". It matches the Rfam family "tRNA". From Rfam's summary of the family: Transfer RNA (tRNA) molecules are approximately 80 nucleotides in length. Lineage: Bacteria; Deltaproteobacteria. The record is from RNAcentral. RNAcentral also lists the same sequence under 2 other names.
CGGGGUGUGGCUCAGCCUGGCUAGAGCACCUGCUUUGGGAGCAGGGGGUCGCCGGUUCAAAUCCGGCCACCCCGA